Molecule: ribosomal RNA, 468 nt
Filed under: uncultured bacterium
Lineage: Bacteria
Description: partial 16S ribosomal RNA
Rfam family: Bacterial small subunit ribosomal RNA
Source: RNAcentral
GACGAACGCUGGCGGCGUGCUUAACACAUGCAAGUCGAACGGAAAGACCCUGCUUUUGUGGGGUGCUCGAGUGGCGAACGGGUGAGUAACACGUGAGUAACCUGCCCUUGACUUUGGGAUAACUUCAGGAAACUGGGGCUAAUAUCGGAUAGGAGCUCCUGCUGCAUGGUGGGGGUUGGAAAGUUUCGGCGGUUGGGGAUGGACUCGCGGCUUAUCAGCUUGUUGGUGGGGUAGUGGCUUACCAAGGCUUUGACGGGUAGCCGGCCUGAGAGGGUGACCGGCCACAUUGGGACUGAGAUACGGCCCAGACUCCUACGGGAGGCAGCAGUGGGGAAUAUUGCACAAUGGGCGGAAGCCUGAUGCAGCAACGCCGCGUGCGGGAUGACGGCCUUCGGGUUGUAAACCGCUUUCGCCUGUGACGAAGCGUGAGUGACGGUAAUGGGUAAAGAAGCACCGGCUAACUACGUG